UACGGGGGGAGCAAGCGUUGUUCGGAUUUACUGGGCGUAAAGGGUUCGUAGGUGGCCACUUAAGUCAGACGUGAAAUCCCUCAGCUUAACUGGGGAACUGCGUCUGAUACUGAGUGGCUUGAGUGCAGGAGAGGAAUGCGGAACUCCAGGUGUAGCGGUGAAAUGCGUAGAUAUCUGGAGGAACACCGGUGGCGAAGGCGGCAUCCUGGACCGGCAUUGACGCUGAGGCGCGAAAGCCAGGGGAGCAAACGGG
This 253-nucleotide ribosomal RNA is filed under the name uncultured bacterium. RNAcentral's name for it is "partial 16S ribosomal RNA". It matches the Rfam family "Bacterial small subunit ribosomal RNA", at positions 524 to 776 of the family's 1533-position model. The record is from RNAcentral.